GAUGAACGCUGGCGGCGUGCCUAAUACAUGCAAGUCGAGCGAACAGACGAGGAGCUUGCUCCUCUGACGUUAGCGGCGGACGGGUGAGUAACACGUGGAUAACCUACCUAUAAGACUGGGAUAACUUCGGGAAACCGGAGCUAAUACCGGAUAAUAUAUUGAACCGCAUGGUUCAAUAGUGAAAGACGGUUUUGCUUUCACUUAUAGAUGGAUCCGCGCCGCAUUAGCUAGUUGGUAAGGUAACGGCUUACCAAGGCAACGAUGCGUAGCCGACCGGAGAGGGUGAUCGGCCACACUGGAACUGAGACACGGUCCAGACUCCUACGGGAGGCAGCAGUAGGGAAUCUUCCGCAAUGGGCGAAAGCCUGACGGAGCAACGCCGCGUGAGUGAUGAAGGUCUUCGGAUCGUAAAACUCUGUUAUUAGGGAAGAACAAAUGUGUAAGUAACUAUGCACGUCUUGACGGUACCUAAUCAGAAAGCCACGGCUAACUACGUG
This 497-nucleotide ribosomal RNA is filed under the name uncultured bacterium. Its description in RNAcentral is "partial 16S ribosomal RNA". It matches the Rfam family "Bacterial small subunit ribosomal RNA", at positions 28 to 507 of the family's 1533-position model. The record is from RNAcentral.